Physeter macrocephalus (sperm whale) is the source of this 5914-nucleotide long non-coding RNA. RefSeq lists it as uncharacterized. The transcript has 3 exons. Lineage: Eukaryota; Metazoa; Chordata; Mammalia; Artiodactyla; Physeteridae. The record is from RefSeq and is a predicted model, not a curated record.
AGUUGUGGCGCAUGGGCUUAGUUGCUCUGCAGCAUGUGGGAUCUUCCCGGACCAGGGCUCGAACCUGUGUCCCCUGCAUUGGCAGGCGAAUUCUUAACCACUGUGCCACCAGGGAAGCCCCUGUCGCCUCUGAUCUUAAUUGCUUGAAUUGUGCUGUCUAGACUUAGCAAUGCAUCAUAGUAUCAGAUCAACAAAAGACUAGACUGAGUGUUUCAGUCAACUGGGUGUAACUGUCACACUCUACAGUCUCCGGACACUCCCCCCACGGUUCAGCAAUCAAGGCCAGGAUCGGUCAGGGUACUUGCGACUUUUCCUUAGUUUUACUACAUUUUAGCCUCUCUUAAUGGGAGAAUUGCAGCCGUGCUCUCUUUCAACUGAGUUAAUACUUUGCUAUGGAAUUAAAGCAACUUUUGGAGAUAAAAACUAGGUGCUGACUUGAUGCUAGUCAUAGUGAAUGUCCAACUCUUCUUAAAGGAUGUGGCUGUGUUUGUUCUCUAGGGUUGCCAUAACAAAUUACCACAAAUUGGGUGGCUUAGAACAACGGAAUUGUAUUCCCUCACUGUUCUGAGGCCAGAAGUCUGAAGUCAAGGUGUGGGAAGGUCAUGUUUCCUCUGAAGGCUCCAGAGAAGAAUCUUUCCUUGCCUCUUCCCAGCUUCUGGAGAUUCCCAUCAAUCCUCAGCGUUCCUUGGCUUGUAGCACAUCACUUCAGUCUCCGCCUCUGUCAUCACAUGGCUCUUCUCCCUCUGUCUCCCCUGUGUAUCUCUGUGUCUCUGUCUUUAAAUUUUUUCUCUUCUUCUGAGGACUGAAAGCCCACUGUGACCUCAUCUGAACUAUAUUACAUCUGCAGACUGUUUCCAAGCAAGAUCACAUUGACAGGUACAAAAGCAUCGGAGGCAGUUCAGAUGAACCAGAGGAGACGUGCCAGUGAUAAAGGUUCUAAGCAGCGUGAGGAAAUCUCAUCCCGUCCCGCCUGGGAUCCGCAACCUUCGCCAUCAUCCUGGCUCCCUGGUCCAGCUUCACCUGAAGCAGAUGGUCCUUAUGACUUCUCAUCAGAAGGUCAGCAGUAGCCUAACACUAGGUCACAAUGCCGACGUCAUUCACUCACUUCACCUCAACGUGCAGGCAUUUUAUCCUCUCACAUCAGCACAGGAAGGCUGAGUACAGUACGAUAAGAUAUUUCGUAUCUUUUGUACAUAACUUUUAUUACUGUUUAUUGUUAUAAUUAUUCUAUUAUGUCAUUAGCUAUUGUUGUUUAUCUUCAUCCGCCUAAUUUAUAAGUUAAACUUUAUCAUAGGUAUGUAUUUAUAGGAAAAAACAUAGUAGAUAUAGGGUUCAGUACUAUCCAUGGUUUCAGGCAUCCGUUGGGGGUCUUGGAAUGUAUCCCUUGAGGAUCAGAGGGGACGACUGUACAUUGAGACCCAAGAGCAUCCUUUUAUAUUAAACUAUGUUACUAUGUUAGAGUGAUAUAUGCCAUACAUUGUAUAUACUAACGUAGUGAUUGCCCGCAGGAGUGAAAUGACUUGAUUCUAUCUAGCAGAGCUGCAAACCCUUUCAAUUAUAGUAAUGAAAUAUGACGUGUUGUAAUGUAAUCAUGCCUAGGAGGAGACAAGGAUAUGAAUUUUGAGGUCUCUUAAGGAUCAUAUUACUUUAUAAUUCUUAUAUUUACCUGUCCCUAGCUCAGGGAGCUUUACUUGGCAGCCUGUUAUAAAUGAAGAUCUUGAGCCCCAUCCCAAACCUACUGAAUCAGAAUCUGCAUUUUAAGCAAACUGUUAUAUAGAGAAUGGAGAAACAACAAGGUCCUACUGUACAGCACAGGGAACCACAGUCAAUAUCCCGUGAUAAACCAUAAUGGAAAAGAAUAUAUAGUUACGUAUCACUGAAUCACUUUGCUGUACAGCAGAAAUUAACACAACAUUGUGAAUCAACUGUACUUCAAUACAUUUUAAAAAAUAAAAAUUUUAAAAAAGAAUCUGCAUUUUAACAAGAUCCUCAAGUGAUCUGAAGGCACAUUAAAUUUUGAGAAGCACUGAUGACGACUAUACCUGAGAGAUGACUAAAUUCCUACACUUUUUCUUCAAUAGUUUUUGUUUUUUUUAGCUGCUCUUUAUACCUUCGUCAAGAGAUAUGAGGCCCCUGACUAAUAAAAAUGCUUUUACUGAUUACUUUGGGUGAAAACCUCAUUAAAUCAGGCAAAUGUUCUAGAAGAGCCUGUAAACAGAUUUUCAUAAUGGAGAGCACAGUGGAUUAGAAAAACCAGCCCCUGUCAACACCACAGACUUGCCAGGAGAGCUCAGUGGGAACAAGAGGGCCCCUGUGUUGCACUGAAGCAAAUCAGAAGUGUCUAGUGUGCCAGAGAAAAUUCAUGUUUUUCCCGCACCAGCUCUGACAUGUUCACACAUGAAUGUAUUUCAUUCAGAAAAAGUCAGAGCUCUAGAAUGGCACAGUCUGGCUCUAUGAGAAACAGAUGUGUCAUGGUUCACCCACCCCCUGACCACCUGUGGUUUGCCCAUGACUAAACUCUCUUGAAUAAAAUGGAGUUAACUCCUGGAUCUAGAACAAAUUCUAAAUUACGGAUUUAUUUCCUUCCUCCUCAUAUUUCUCCUCCUUGCUCAUUGCCAUGACAGAACCUUACAAUUCAGAGAAGUUUGAAUGAACUACAAAAGGAAUUCUCAGUGCUCCAAAGCAUUUUCUUUCAAAGGCAGGUCCUGGCUCUGACAUUUAGGUUGAGGUUUUGUGAAAAGUUCAAACAGAAUACCAACUUCUCCAGCCAAUUAGAGAGACUGAUUUUUGUUUAUACUUUAAAGCCACCUGGUUGUGAGGUGUUUUCACUUUCUGCUUAUUUUUGUAGUCGAGGGUAGGCAUUAUUCUCAUUCAGAAAUAUGCUUGGGAUGCCAUUGGUCAUUCACUUAAUCUUCAGCUGCCCCCGUUCACGGAAUCGUGUGGACAAAUUAAAACCAUUAAUAUUCCGCAAACUUUAGUCCCUGCAGUUAAAACUCGCCCUCAGCCACUUCCUCCAGCUGCUUACAAGUAGCCAAAAGGAAGGAUUUGGACGUCAUUAAGAUUUAUUUCUCCUGCCAUGCUCUGCUUUCCAUUCCACAGAAAAUGGGCAGGGAAAUGGUCCCAGCAUAGGUAGGUGGAUGGAAAAAUACAAGGCACAAAAGCCCACGCAGAGAAUAAUCAAGCCCUCAAGAGUCACUGACAGUUUUUCAAAAUAUUUUCAUUUCCAUUUAUGUAAUCAACUUAGGGUUGUUUUGACAUACCAUUGAGGCCUUUGGUUUUUCUUUUUAUAGAAUAUUUCUUUAUUUGUUUCUUCAGAAAGCAUUAUCUAAUUAAAAGCAAACAUAUAACUUAAUAUAGCCUGUCAAGGAAGUACUCGCCAUUCAUGGUCCAGUUAUAAUUACAAUGACAAUACUAUCUAAAAAAACAAGGCCUUUUUUAAAACCCAUAAUUACUUCAUUACUUAUAAUUUUUAAAUUGAAAUGCAAAUAACAUGGAAUUUAAAUUCCAUAAAACCUUGGUCUGUAUAUCUUGCUAUCAAAAUGCUCUUCAGAAUAACACACGGCAAAUUCUACAUGCUUUUUAUAAAUGGGGAAACUUAAGUGACAAAGAAGGAAAUAACCUGGCCUCGAUGUGAGUCAUUCGCAAACGUUGGAAAGAAACUCCCAAAUGCAUCUCCUAAAAGAGUGUUUUGUGGGUUCACACGCACUCCGUAUAUCCAGAGUGAAAGAAUGCCCCUGGAAAUAAAUAAUCUAUGAAGUCUGAUGAUUAAGUAUUAAUUAUUUAAUAAUAAAGACUUACUAGAAACCAAGUGCAGUGUCAUUUUAGAUUUAGUUUUCAAAGGAGAAAAUAUUCCAUUUCAACACACAGGUUUGGAAACAGUACAACUUAAAGUUUACUCAGGUCAGAUAACCCUCAGUGAAUUAUCAAUGUACUUUGGGAAUAUUUUAUGAACAAUAAAACCAGAUGAUGGCAGAGUUUGGUCACAGGCUGAGCUAUAGAAAAGUAAGGAGCUUUUUUUUUUUUUCAGUUGAAGUGAUUUUUCAUAUUGCCACAGUACGGUGCUUUCUAAGUCCACUUGGUUAAAAAAGCCACAACACCGAUAAUUCAGAAUGUAAAGCCACCCUAUGAUCAAGUAUACAUCUGAUACAUUAAAAUCACUGAAUUUGAAAUUUAAAAGCUCUGAAUUAAAUAGAUACAUAGUUCUUAAAAGCCUGAUCCACUGGUCACACUUAUACUGAUCUUGUAUCUUGUAAGCAAAGCGGCAAUGAUGCCAAGUGUAACGUGCCCGAGAUCAGUCCUUUCACCUGAUUAUAAUGUCCUAAAACAGACUGUACUGUUAACAUCCUCACACUUCCAUCCCUUCAACAUGUAUUUAGUGACUUUCACCACUUUGUGUCACUCAGAAAUGUACACCUUCAGAGUAUGCCGGUUGACCAAAGAUAUUAUUCUAGAUGUUCACUUGGACAGAGCUGGCAGUGAGUGCUAAAAAAUGGCUGACACGUUGCUCCUACCAUUAAGAAACCUACCAUUUGGCUCAAUAAAAAACCUGUCCAAAAUUAGCUUUAAUACAAGAAGGACUAUCCAAGGCAGUGGUGGGGGAGGGAAAGGCAUAGACGAGGAGUAAGAAACAACAUUUGAACUGGAUCUUAAGGGAUGGACAGUGCUUUUGAUAGAAAUGUUGGAAGACAAUUCCAAGGAGUGGGUCCAUGUGAGCCAAGGCACAGACUCAGGAAAGUCCAGGAUGCAUUCAGGUAAUGAAUCAUCUGGUAGGAUUUGGGCUCAGAGUGGAAAAGGGGACUAGAAAAUAUGGAUGAAAAUGUAGGUUGAAGCCAGAUCUGAGACAGCUUAACAACACGCUAUGGAGUGAAGACUCUUCCUGUUGGUAAUGGGGGACCACGAAAGUAUGUUUGGUGAGUUUUUCUGUCAUCAAAUCAUAUUCACAUUGAUUAUAACAAGGAUAAAUGUAGAGAAAAUAUGCAUACUUGGAGUACAAAAUCAUCAAAUAGCUUGGAUCACUUGAAGUUACCAAUUUUGAAAAUCAGUAAUUGUCAAAUAUCAUUAGUUUUCACCUUAAUAAAUUCAUCCUUGAAUCAGAAAUGUGUAUUUUGUCUUUAACUUGUUUUAUGAAAAGACGUUCUUAAAAUGUAAUGUAAUUAAGAUUGAGUGAGGCAUCACUGUGCUUUAGUGAAAAGCACUGGAUUGAUUCUACACUUUUUUGACCACCUUCUAUGUCCUAAGCACACAUAUUACAUACUUCUAUUCGUUACCUGGUGCUAGAUUCCUAUAAAGGAUUAAUUAUGGUCAGAAUGUUUAUUAAGUUUCCCCAGAUCAUUAGCAAGUAAGUGAUAGUGUUCGAUUUCAGGGUUACAUCUUUUGCUUUUUGUUUGUUUGGGACUUGGGCUUUGAUUUUUGCUGCAUACGGGGGCUAAGCUAUUUCUGCAGCAUGGCCAGCGAUUCCUUAGUGAAAAAUCGUAGGUGUGUUGAGCGAAUGUCCUGGAUUAGACACAGAAUCAGGUCCUAGGUGAACAGCGGUCACCAAGAAAGACAUUGUCCUUUUACUUGUGGAGUUUAUAUUUGAGUUGGGAAACAGAUUUUAAAUUAUUUGUACUGGGAGACAGAUUUUUAAAAAAACACUAAUUACAAACUAAUUGCUUCUCUCAAAUCAAGCUGUGUGCUACAAUUCAGAGUACAGGUGAGUAUAAAGUGCAUAAGAGGAGGAUCUUGAUGCCAGGGCAGGAAGAAUGGCCUCGGGCGUUUAAGCUAAGACCUGAGGAUGAGUAGGCGUUAACAAGUAAAAAAGAUAAGAGGAUUUUAGGCAAAGAAAAUAGCUUUUCCCUAUUUUUGCUUUCUUCAAAAAGUAGCUCUGGGCUUCCCUGGUGGCGCAGUGGUUGAGAGUCCGCCUGCCGAUGCAGGG